UGGGGAAUUUUGGACAAUGGGGGAAACCCUGAUCCAGCCAUCCCGCGUGUGCGAUGAAGGCCUUCGUGUUGUAAAGCACUUUUGGCAGGAAAGAAACGUCAUGGGUUAAUACCCCGUGAAACUGACGGUACCUGCAGAAUAAGCACCGGCUAACUACGUGCCAGCAGCCGCGGUAAUACGUAGGGUGCAAGCGUUAAUCGGAAUUACUGGGCGUAAAGCGUGCGCAGGCGGUUCGGAAAGAAAGAUGUGAAAUCCCAGAGCUCAACUUUGGAACUGCAUUUUUAACUGCCGGGCUAGAGUGUGUCAGAGGGAGGUGGAAUUCCGCGUGUAGCAGUGAAAUGCGUAGAUAUGCGGAGGAACACCGAUGGCGAAGGCAGCCUCCUGGGAUAACACUGACGCUCAUGCACGAAAGCGUGGGGAGCAAACAGG
This 429-nucleotide ribosomal RNA is filed under the name Acidobacteriota bacterium. RNAcentral's name for it is "Acidobacteria bacterium partial 16S ribosomal RNA". It matches the Rfam family "Bacterial small subunit ribosomal RNA", at positions 355 to 776 of the family's 1533-position model. Lineage: Bacteria; Pseudomonadati; Acidobacteriota. The record is from RNAcentral.